UACGAGAGGUCCAAGCGUUAUUCGGUAUCACUGGGCUUAAAGAGUUCGUAGGCGGCUCCGUAGGUGAGGUGUGAAAGCCCUCGGCUCAACCGAGGAAUUGCGCUUCAAACCGUGGGGCUUGAGGGAGACAGGGGUAAGCGGAACAGAUGGUGGAGCGGUGAAAUGCGUUGAUAUCAUCUGGAACACCGGUGGCGAAAGCGGCUUACUGGGUCUCUUCUGACGCUGAGGAACGAAAGCUAGGGUAGCGAACGGG
RNAcentral lists this ribosomal RNA (253 nucleotides) under uncultured bacterium. Its description in RNAcentral is "partial 16S ribosomal RNA". It matches the Rfam family "Bacterial small subunit ribosomal RNA", at positions 524 to 776 of the family's 1533-position model. The record is from RNAcentral.